This 492-nucleotide ribosomal RNA is filed under the name uncultured bacterium. RNAcentral describes it as "partial 16S ribosomal RNA". It matches the Rfam family "Bacterial small subunit ribosomal RNA", at positions 29 to 507 of the family's 1533-position model. The record is from RNAcentral.
AGUGAACGCUGGCGGUAGACCUAACACAUGCAAGUCGAACGGCAGCACAGUAAGAGCUUGCUCUUACGGGUGGCGAGUGGCGGACGGGUGAGGAAUACAUCGGAAUCUACUUUUUCGUGGGGGAUAACGUAGGGAAACUUACGCUAAUACCGCAUACGACCUACAGGUGAAAGCAGGGGAUCUUCGGACCUUGCGCGAUUGAAUGAGCCGAUGUCGGAUUAGCUAGUUGGCGGGGUAAAGGCCCACCAAGGCGACGAUCCGUAGCUGGUCUGAGAGGAUGAUCAGCCACACUGGAACUGAGACACGGUCCAGACUCCUACGGGAGGCAGCAGUGGGGAAUAUUGGACAAUGGGCGCAAGCCUGAUCCAGCCAUACCGCGUGGGUGAAGAAGGCCUUCGGGUUGUAAAGCCCUUUUGUUGGGAAAGAAAAGCAGCAGGUUAAUACCCCGCUGUUCUGACGGUACCCAAAGAAUAAGCACCGGCUAACUUCGUG